This 78-nucleotide transfer RNA is filed under the name Burkholderia glumae. Its description in RNAcentral is "tRNA-Pro". Lineage: Bacteria; Pseudomonadati; Pseudomonadota; Betaproteobacteria; Burkholderiales; Burkholderiaceae. The record is from RNAcentral.
CCCUGGCCAGCCCGGCCCGAGGCCCGCGCCUCGGGCGCGCGGGCGCAACGCUUCGUUUCAGCGUUCGAAGCAAGCGGC